Molecule: ribosomal RNA, 427 nt
Filed under: uncultured bacterium
Lineage: Bacteria
Description: bacterial SSU rRNA
Rfam family: Bacterial small subunit ribosomal RNA
Source: RNAcentral
GCGAGGAAUCUUGGUCAAUGGGCGAAAGCCUGAACCAGCGACGCCGCGUGGGGGAUGAAGGCUCUUGGGUCGUAAACCCCUUUUGGGUGGGAAGAAGAUCUGACGGUACCACCCGAAUAAGCCACGGCUAACUACGUGCCAGCAGCCGCGGUAAUACGUAGGUGGCGAGCGUUGUCCGGAUUUAUUGGGCGUAAAGCGCGCGCAGGCGGUUGAUUAAGUCCGGUGUGAAAGCUCCUGGCUCAACUGGGAGAGGUCACUGGAUACUGGUCGACUGGAGGCAGGCAGAGGAAGGUGGAAUUCCCGGUGUAGUGGUGAAAUGCGUAGAUAUCGGGAGGAACACCAGUGGCGAAGGCGGCCUUCUGGGCCUGUCCUGACGCUGAGGCGCGAAAGCGUGGGGAGCGAACCGGAUUAGAUACCCGGGUAGUCC